Molecule: long non-coding RNA, 10868 nt
Organism: Brassica rapa (field mustard)
Lineage: Eukaryota; Viridiplantae; Streptophyta; Magnoliopsida; Brassicales; Brassicaceae
Source: RefSeq, a predicted model, not a curated record
UGGUGAUUUAACAUUUAAUAUUUUGGAUUCUUGCAUAAUAAUACUCCAUCAUUGCAUAUAUACUCGAAUUCAAGAUUGGCAUCAACGAAAUGGACUUAAUUGAUUCCUUUCUCUCUAGCGACAGAGUAGAAUUUCAUCUAUAGAAAGAAGAUUUGGGUGGUUUAAAUGUAUAAUAUAGUUUGAAUAUCAUUAGAGAGAAAUGUAAAAGAUGAUAUUAUUCAAUUUCGUUUGUUACCAAAAUGAAUUAUUUACAAUUAUAUAAAGUAAAGUACUAAACUGGGUUAAACCAUGAUUAAAUUACAUGUACAGUAAACCAAUCUAAACCAGUUAAUAUUCUUUCUUAAGAUGGAGGUGUGUAGAUGUCCAAAACACUCAUCUUAGAAACGAGAUCCGGAAAUGGUGGAGGAUACAAUGCCUUCGUCAGAACAUAUGCAAUAUGCUUAUGCGUACGUACAUGCAUUGUCUUGAUCAAGCUAUUGACAAUGCGAUCACGGAUGGUGUAACAAUCAUGAUCAACAUGUUUAGUCCUCUCGUGAUAUACAGAGUUGUUUGCUAUGUGGAGAGAGGCUGUGUUGUCACCAUAUAAGUGUGUAGGCAACAAAACAUGCACUUGAAGAUCAGUCAUAAUGCGAAGAAGACACUCGAUCUCACAGGAUGCAUCAGCCAAAGCUCUGAACUCUGCUUCCGCUGGGAUUCUGGAUAUGGUAUGUUGCUUCUUUGAAUGCUAAGUUACCAAAGACUCACCAAGGAACAUAGCAUAACCAGUGAUGGAUUUGCGAGAGUCGGGACAAGAUCCCCAAUCCGCAUCAGCAAAACCACGCAAAUCAAAUGAUCCAGACGCAGCAUAGAACAGACCUUGUCCCACCGUACCUUUAAGAUAACGAAAUAGCUAGUGAGCAGCCUUCAAAUGAGCAUCUCUAGGUGCAGCAGAGUAUUGACAGAGCUUCGUGAGAGUAUAAGCUAUGUUUGAUCGAGUGAUGGCAAGAUACAUCAUUCUUCUAUAAAAUUUAGGCUCAGAUAACAAAGCUCCCAUCUCAUGAACGAUCUUAGACCCAUCUUUUGGUAUGAUAGUUUCCGUUGAAAGUCGAACUGUGGGGUCAAGAGGGAUAGCUGAUGGUUUACACCCGAGGAAACAUGUAUCAUCGAGCAACUCAAGAAUAUAUUUCCUUUGACAAAUUGAAAUGCCUUUUGCAGAACGAGCAAUCUCAAAGCCAAGGAAAUAUUUUGCAUCUCCAAGAUUUCGGAGUUUGAAAUGUGAUUCCAACUCACGAAUAAACUCCUUGAGAGCUUCAUCCUUGUUGCUCACAACCAAGAUAUCAUCAACAUACACUAAGACUGCCAAGGAUCUUCCAUCAACAUUCUUCACAAACAAAGUGUGAUCAUCCCGAGAUUUCAUGAAACCCAUCUUCAUUAUAGUAGAUGAUAACGUCAAGUACCACUGCCUAGAUGCUUGUUUGAGUCCAUAAGGGAAUUUGUGUAGUCUACAAACAUCAUUAGGAAGGACUGAAACGCCUAUUAACUCUUCAUAACCAGGGAAAGCUUCAUAUAAAUCUCCUCCUCGAGAUCACCAUUCAAGAAUAUAUAGAGAUGUCCAACUGAGUGAGAGACCAAUUCAUCUUAGCUGCGACAUCAAUGAGAACCCUUACGGUGCUAAGCUUAGCAACAAGGGAAAAUGUAUCUUGAUAAUCAACACCUUCUUCUUGCGUGUAACCCUUACCAACCAGACGAUCCGUCUUUCUCUCUUCAAUACCAUCUGCAUGGUAUUUGGUCUUGUAAAGCCAUUUACGACCAAUAGGCUUCUUAUCAGGAGGCAAUGUAUAGAUGCUCUAAGUCUUAGUCCUUUCUUGAGAAUAAAUCUCUUCCUUCAUAGCAUCUCACCACAACUGAUCCAGCAUUGCUUCUAAAUAGUUUUGAGGAUCUUUAGAUUUUUUGAUAGAUUUUAUAAAAGAAUAAAAGGGCUCGGAUAAGGCAGAGUAUGAAAUGUAAUUUGCUAUCGGGUAAGGAGUAGAAGAAGGAGAAGAAAUAUUGUAAUAAUGAUAGUCCUGCAAAUGAAAAGGUUGUUUCUUGUUUCGAAUCGAACGACUUCCAGAGGAAAGAACGUCAGAAGAUGACACAUCAUUAUGAGGAUGUGCAUCGGAAGAUGCUGGUUUAGAGAACUCAGCAUCAGGGACAGCAGGUGAGGAAGCGUGAGGAAAUAAAGAUUUGACAUUAUCAUUUAGAGAUGGUAACGCAAAAUAGAAGAUAUCCUCAUGAAAAAGAGCACAUGACGAGAAUAAAAAAAACAGAAUGUGUCUCUAUGUCUAAUAGCUUGUAACCCUUGUACCAUGAAGGAUAUCAUAGGAAGACAGAAGCUUUAGUUAUAGGAUCAAAUUUAUGUAUAUUCUUAUUUGAAGUACUAGCAUAACACAAAAAAAACCAAAGGUUUUUAAAUUUUCAUAAUCGGAUUGUUUAUCAGUUAGCUUUUCAAAAGGAGAUUUGUGUUCUAAAACAGGGAAAGGUAAACGAUUUAUAAGAAAGACUGCAGUCAAAACAUAAUCACCCCAAAAUUAUAAAGGUACAUUAGACUGAAACAAUAAUGCUCUAGCAACAUUCAAUAUAUGUUGAUGCUUUCUUUCCACUACAUAAUUUUGUUCAGGUGUUUCAAGACACAAAUGGUAUGAGAUGAUUCCUCUAGCAACCAAAAGAUCAGUGAAUUUCAAUUCGUUUGCAUUGUCUGAUCUAACAGCCUUAACAUUCACAUUAUAUUGAUUUGCUACCAUCUUAACAAAGUCAGGGAAUAUUUGUAGAACAUCAGACUUAGCACACAUCAAGAAAACCCAAGUGGCUCUGCUAAAAUCAUCAACAAUAUUUAAGAAAUACUUUGAAUUAUCAACAGUUGGUUCAGCAAAAAGACCCCAAGUACCAAUAUGUAAAAAAUCAAAAGCAUUCUUGCUAAUAUUUAGAUUUGAAUGGUAAAUGUUUCUAUUUUGAUAAGUGACAGACAUGGCACAAAUCAGAAUGAUCUUUAUUAAGUUAUGAAUUUGAAAGAUGAAGAACAUUCGAUAAGGUAUCAAUUUUAGAUUUGGAGGGAUGACCUAAUCGUUUAUGCCAAAUAAGAGAAUCCACAACAACAAAUACAGACGGCAUACCUUGAAAAGAUAAAUAUCUAUGUUUAUUCUCAGCAUCCAAGACAUAUAAGUUGCCAACUUGACUACUUUGACCAAUCAUCAAUUCAUGAGUAAGUUCCUGAAUAAAACAAUCAUUAGCAGUGAAAGAAACUUAAGAAUUCAAUGUUGUAGUUAAAACACUCACACUUAACAAAUUGAAUCUGAAAUCUGGGAUGAAAAGCACGUUAAAAAGAGUAAUAGAAUCAGUCAAAUGAAUGCAUCCUUCCCCAGCUAUAGUAACAAUAUAACCAUUAGGAAGAGUGACAUAGGUUUUGUCUAAGGGUUUGUAAUCAGUAAACAAGUUCCUAUAAUGACUAACAUGAUGAGUGGCUCCUGAGUCUAUAAUUCAAGUUCUAAGAGACACAUCUGUUUCUUUUGAAGUGGAAUAUAUAAGCAUGUGAUUAUAGGAAUGGUUGUAAAGAGAAAUGAAGUUACCGGAAAGGCGUCCUGUAAUCUGUGAAAUUACAGGGGCAUUAGUUGAAGUCGAAGCAGUAGCUUUCUCAGUUGUGGAUGUGACACUAGGAGAGUGGAGUUGAGAACUCAAGUAAGAAAUCAUAGAAUGGAGUUGGUCUUUGGAGAUUUGUUCACAAGAGACUUCUUCAUUCGUAUUGACCGACCGUGUAAACGCCAUGUUUGUUGAGGCCAUAACAGAAGGUUUCUUUCCUUUGAACAUUCCAGGAGGAUAUCCAUGCUUCUUGUAACAUCCAUGCUUCUUGUAACACUUGUCAACUCUAUGACCAAGUCUUAAGCAGAAAGAGCACUUCACUUUGUGAUAAGGUCCUUGAGAAAUGAGAACUUGGUUAUUCUCAGGAUUGAGUGACUUUUGAACUUGGAAAGCAACAAGAUGAUUGGUCAUUCGUUGAGCAGAUCCUACAAUUCAUUGACUUUCAUCCUGAUCAAGCAUGUUAUAUAUUUCAGUAAGGCUCAGACGAGGCUUGACGUUCAGAAUUUGCCCUCGAAUGUUGGCAAAAUUCUCGUUGAGUCCCAUGAGAAACUGAAUGAUACGACUAGUCUCUGCUUCCUCCAUUAACUCCUUAACAUGAUCACAAUUGCAUCUUCUUGCUUUGGUGAUCUUUGUGUUAGACAGUUGCUCCCAAGGAGUCUUCUUCCUAGGCCCAUGGAUCCCUGCUUAAAAGUCGCAAUAGCCUGCUCUAACUGAUACUUCCUUGGGAGAUUACUCACUCGAAACCUUGAGUACAAAUCAUUCCACAUCUCAACAGCAUCAUCAUAAUACAUGAUGUUAUCAUACAUCUCAUGAUUCACUGUAUUAAGUAACCACGACUUAACCAUGUUGUUGCAUCUACUUCAGAUCUUGAACAACGGAUCAUUUUCAGCUGGUCUAACUAAUGAUCCAUCGAAUCCUAUCUUGUUCUUAGCAUCAAGACUCAUCCUCAUCGCGAUAUACCAGUUGUUAUAAUUCAAUCCAUCUAACUUCUGAUUCGAGAUGCACAAUCCAGGAUGAUGCAAGAAAUACGGACUAUGAGUGUUGUCGAUGGAGUUCAUACUAGAGCUAUUAAAUCCACGAGGUUGCACACGGAGAGUUCCAAUAUUCUGUGGCGGAUUGAUCUCGACGUCUAGAUCAUCGUCUUCUUUUGCGGAAAAAUGCGAUUGAUUCUGCAUUGCAGAUGUUUCUGUACCAGAAACGGUGUUUCGAGUCCUCAUCUUCCUUCCUUGCUUCGCCAUUGUAGAGAUCGAGAUCAAAAACUUUAGAAGAUCGAAAUCGGAUAUCAAAAAUCACCGAUAGCGAUAUUUUCCAAUUCGUAACUUCAAUCGAAGCUCAGAUUGAACUGGAUCUUUAGGAAAUAAGGUGAAGUUUGAAGAAUUUGUGAGAUAAUCGAAGAGAAAUCAGAGAAAACAAGCAGAAAAUGCUCUGAUACCAUAACAGAGUUUGAACAUCGACAGAGAGAAAUAUAAAAGAUGAUAUUAUUUAAUCUCGUUUGUUACCGAAAUGAGUCAUUUACAAAUAUAUAAAAUAAACUACUAAACCAGACUAAACCAUGAUUAAAUUACACGUACGGUAAACCAAUCUAAACUGGCUAAUAAGGUAGGUGAAAAAUAUAUGUUAUCAAUAAGGUGUCAACUAUUUAAAGACGUAUCACACCUCAUAUCAACCAGCCAUUAGCAGAAGAGAGUAGUAUUUCAACUACUCUCCGUUGAAUAUAUCGUGUGGUUUAAUGUUCACGAUCACUUUCACUCUAAAAUCUCUUUUACUGCAUUAAUCAUUUUGCCAUCAAUCCCAGUCUGACGUCUUGCAUUUUAGAUGAGAUCUUGUUCUUCUUAUUGGCCCACGAGAGUCGCCCCAUGUUCUCCGCAUCUUUCAACGAUAUAUUUUCCACAUAAAUGGCUUUAGAUCCAUCACAUGUAACUGUGUAAUGUCUGAAUUAGAUAUAAAUGGAAGUAAUAUAUAUUGUAAUAAAGUUUAGUCCAACAUGUGAACCAGUGGCUCCACUUCUUUUAGUUUCCCCUAAAUUAUAUUGUUCUUUCUUUCACAUCCAAUCCAAGUGAGUGUUAACCAGUCAUUGAACCGCUGCAAGAAAACUAAUUGAACAAGUUGUUUUCCAACCAAUUGUUAUAGAAAUGGCUAAUCGUUAGUUCGUUGACCAAUGAACAACUACUACGAUUCUAUCUAUUGUGUUGUGAUUAGUUUGUUUUUCAGAAUCACUUUGUUAAUUUUCUACGAUGUAGAUUUAUAAAAGAAUGGGAGAUAUUUUGUUUAGAGGAGGUUUGUAUAUUUCAUUCAAUUCCAUUCAUAAGAUUCACACUGAAAGUACACUUCAAUUUAUAUACUAUAUAUAUACAAUUGACAAAAUUUUAUUUUGAAAACAAACUUUCAUUGUAUGAAGGAAAAAAAACUAAAAAGAAAAUGGUAUAGACAAAUAUCAUUUCUUGUGUGAGUUAUUAUUUUCGCUUUGGGCGGAUAAUUUAUAUAUUAUGUGCGAGGUAUUAUUUUUCAUAAUUUCUAGUUUCUUUAUCAUUUUUUUAUGUUAAUCUUUUUUUUUUGAUAUUAGGAUAUUCAACUUCAGUUUCAUUAGGAUUAACUAAAUUUUGUAAUUCGAUUACUGAGAUAAUUAAUUUUAGCGGAUUAUGUUCUACUUUAUUUUGGUAGUAUGUAUUGUGUGUAAUGUUUAGACUCUGAAGAUAUUAUAUUUUUAAUUUUCAUCAGUAUUAGAACUUGAAGAUUUUCUUGGAACAUUACUUUUAUUUUCUUCAUUGGAUACGAUAAAUUUAAUAUCUUGUUUAUAUGAAAAAAAUUUCUUUGUUUAUUACUUUAUUUUUUAUAUCUUGUUAUAUUACGCUUUCCCAUUUUUUAAAAAAUAUUUUAUUGAUUAUGUAUAAUUAUUUGUUGUGUUUUUCAUCAAUGUCAUGUUAGUUCUCAUGAACUUAAGUUAAUGAUAAAAAAAAUGAGAGAUUCACUUUGCAAUAAAUAAUUGUUGACAUUGCUUACAUAUUUCAUAUCAAACAAUAUUAUUAACUGAUUUUUCUAAUUUGAAUUUUUAUAAAUUUUCUCUGUAUAUUUUGAAAAAUAAAAUUUUGUUAUAUUAUCUCUUUUGGUUAUUUUAUGUAAAUUACUAAUUUUUAAUAGUUUUGAAAAAUUUAUUUUGUUUAUGAUUUAUUUUCUUGUCGUGCUUUUAAAUCAAAAUUUUAAAUUCUCUAAAUCUGAAUUUGCUGACAAAGCUAUAUAAACUUCAACUAUAUUCACUAUUUUUUUUUUAAUUUUCUGACUUGAUUUUGAUGACACUGAAAGAUCAAAUAUCGUAAAUAGAUUUUCCUCAUUUCUUAUAUUUUUAUUUUUAUAAAUUUAUGUAUUAUCAGAUUAUAUUAUGUAAUUUCACUAAAUUAUUAUUUAUCCGCUAAUUUUAUUAUAUUAAAAUAUGUUUUGUGUUUUCACUAAUUAUUUUUUAAUAUUUUUACAUUUCAUUAUUUCCUAUUUUCCAAAUAGAAUUUAUUAAAAACUAUAAUGUAUCAAUUUUGGCUGUAGUUCUUUUUUGUCAUCAGUUUUUAAUUAUUAUUUAUAAAUUUAUAUUUGACCUUUUUGACGAAGAAAGUAUAAAUAAAAAUUUGAGAUUCAUUUUUUCGUUGGCCUGGGAUAAAAGGUGAGAAAAUUGAAAAUUAUUUUCUUUGUUUUGUAGAUUUUUCUAUUUAGUUUUGAAAUUUAUGUAUUUUGAAUUAUAUUAUAUGAUUUUUGUUAAAUUAUUGUUUGACAGACUAGUGUCAAAAUUUUAGUUUAACUGAAGUUAAACUAAUAACUUAUGGGUAAUUUAAUGUUAUUUUAAAAUAUCUAGUGCAAAAUAAAAAGGUGAAAAUGUGAAGUAUUAAAUAAAUAUUAUAAAACUAUGCUGAUAUAUCAUAUUUAACUUAUUUGGGGCUAUUGACAUGUGUCAAAAAAAAGAUAAAUAUCAACUUUAUUAGUAUAUAAAUAGUUUUGCACGGUGUAAUAUAAUUCAGAGGACAAACUUAAUAUAAAUAUUUGAAAGCCUUUAAGUAAAAAAAAGAAGUUAAUAUAUAAAUAUUAAAUAGUUGGUUUUAGUGGAAUUUAAUGAAUCAUCGAUUCCACUUAAUUUUUUCUCUACUAUGUCAACCAUUUGCACCCUUAAAUGUUUUUAACUGUAUAAGUUGGAUUAAAUCCCAAAUUUUAAAACCUAAAUCGUCGUAUGAAAGUCCACUAUUAAAAUUGAAUUUUAAUAGCCUGAGACAUGAAGAGGUGGAAAAUGCAAUGGUCUCUGUGUACUGUCUGGAUCUGGACAGGCGUGUGGAGGAGCGUCGGUGGAUCUGAACACUGAAGUCUUAAGAUCAACGUUCAAAUAAAAAUAAACAAAUUAAACUAUUAAUGUUUACAUACAAAAAGAGAAACUAUACGUAUGUUUUAAUUUCUAAAAGAUUUGAACUAUUUAAAGCAACCGACAGCGAGAAUCAUAUCAAUUAGGCGAUGGUGUGGGUUUUCUUUUCUUCAUAUUCAUAUUAGGCAGAUCUAAAACAAUUUUAUCCCCUUUGUUUAUAAAUAAAAAAGUAUGUUGAAUCCAUUUUAAAUAGAUCGUUAUCCCCGACAAAAGAAAAAUAGAUUGUUAAAUGGCAUUUAUAUAAAUUAUGUACUCAAACGCCAUGGUGUUAACAUUCGGGUCACAGAAAGCAACUUCGGUGUCGGUCCAGAAUAAUUAAACGCCUGGAGCAAAUUUUCAAAAGUACUACCUCUAAGAGGAUUUAACCCUGUUAUACUUCUAAGAGAUUCUAAAGGUAUCAAGCCACUACAUCAAAGAAACUAUUUUAUCACUGGCGCACCUAAAUUAUUUAUAAAUUUUGGCGUCUGAAUCCUUGUGUCACAGGUUUUAAUCUAGGAUCGGCCUUGAGCAAUCUGUACAUUAUAGUAUUUGUUGAAGGUGCAUUUUGCACUUUCAUUAAUAUUUGAUCUAAAUUAAAGUAUUCGAAUUCAAAUUAUACAUCACUAAAAAAAACAUAUAAGAAAAAUGAUAAUUCGAUGGCGAACUCGCACCCAUACCAAAAGGGAGGCAAUCUCAAACCGGUCAACAAACACAUACGAUGCAGUCUGGCCAUAUGCCUUACGACAAGGUGAGCUGCACUCGCCUCACAAUGAAUAUGUGACCUCAUCCAACAAAGGUCGAAUAUGUGACUUCAGCAACAAGGAUUAUGAAGUUUCUUUUGUCGCAUUUGGGGCAUUCCCCGACCAUAAAAGAAGGAAUCAGUCCUCAGAUCAAGGAACCAACUUUUCUCUCCAGAACUUCUAGAAAGAUAAACUUAGGGGAUGAUUGGUUGUGGCUGUAGAUGUUCUGGACAACCAAAAUUUAGUCUAGAGCUAUAUAUAUCAACCAAGCGAGCUUUUCUUUCCUUAAAAAACUCACAACAAAAAAAUCUCUGCAACAUCAAAAUAUGGCUGUAGAGAGCUUUAUUUUCACAGCAAAAAAAUUAUUGCUUUAGAAAGCUACAACAAAUAAAUCUACACAAUAAAUUCUACAGAAAAAAUAUAAAGCUACAGCCCUUACCAAUCAUCCCCUUAGCGACAUCAAUACUUAUUGUAUAACACGCUCGAUUCGAUAAUCUCACUCACCUCACUUUGUAACAUCUUUUUGAUUUCGAUUUACUUCAAAUAUAAAUGAGAAUUCGACCUGCUUUGUCCCUAAUCUACUUCUAAAUCACCUACUCGAGCCUCACACUCAAUAUUUGGCACAGUCUGUGGAGAUAAAUCAAAAAUCUCUCUACGCAGAAAGUAUUUCGAAGAUGUCUGAUCCUACAAGAUCAGCACUCCAAAGUGAAGGAACGUCAGCAACAUCGAAGCUGUCAAUAUCCAUUACUCGAAGUUCCUCUCUCCUGACAAACUCUAAGGCGCCAGUACCGUAUAAUCCAACGUUUGUGCAAGAGAUCUAAUCAACCCCAAUGAUUCGAAGUGGGAAAGAACCCACCCAAGUUGAGUCAAACAUUUCCGGAACAAAAGACUCAACCACUUAUGACCAGGCCCGACAUGCCAACGAGCACAUAAAAACAAAGGAGUGGCAAACACGAUGUCCCUGGUACAAACAAACCAACAACCCCACUACUCGAAUGAGUAGAUACACUAACACAAAUCACGGAUGCUCUAUUCGAAUGCAUAACAUAGCUGAGGCAAACCGUUAAUGAAACAAAGUCACAUCAAACAGAGGAAUGGGUGGCUUGUUGAUGCAACUACAACGCAAUCUCUUUGGGGUUUGUUCAUCUCCAAGGGAAAGCACACCAGCGCCUCAUUAUGCGACGCCAGCAACCGCCACAAAUGGAAUCAUAUGAACUCGACAUGACGUCACACAAAAUGCUGUACUUGACUUCAAAAUAGACGAGGUAAUUAAAGGAAUGAAACAAUAGAUUUAAGAGAUGAGUUUGAGAGUGAAGCAGGUGAUAAACUUGUCCCCCGAGAUUAAUCAGGUACUAAAAGAAAUGCAAAAGACACCAUCCACGAGCAGGAUCAGUAGGCACAAGGUCAACAAUCUUGGAAACAUACAAAUCCCGAUGCAUAAUGGGACGACCGAUCCAAAUGAACCCCACAUUAAGUUCAGCAUCACCAUGGCACAAACUCGAUCUAUCCUCGAAGAGUGCGACAUGGGCUAUUGCCAGUUUUUUGUCGAGCACCUCGAGAGAGCAGCGCUUUCGCUGAUUCUUGUGCGUAAAAGCAAACUCGAUAUGCUUCAAGAUGCUUCUUGUCAUCUCAAGUAAGGUUCUGUUACGCCUCUCUACAACUUCGUUCUGCUGAGGCGUGUAAGGAGCGGUUAGAUGACGUUGGAUUCUCGAUGCUUCAGAGAAUUUUUGAAAUUCCAUAGAAGUAAACUUGCCACCUCUGUCGGUUCUGAAAGUCUUAAUAGUUGUUUUUGCCUCUUGUUGGACUUUUGUCUUGAAACUUUUAAAUUUCUCAAACGCUUCUCCUUUCUUCUUUAAGAGAAUUGUUCACAUGUAACGAGAGUGAUCAUCUAUAAGAACAAAAAUGUAUCAAUUUCUAGCUGGAGUCGAUGGUGUGAUUGGUCCGCAGAGGUCUCCAUGUAUAAGUUCAAGCUUCUCUGUGGCUCUAUAAGAAGUUGCUUACGGAAACGACUGUCUUGUCUUUACCUAGAAGACAUGAUUCGCAAGUUUCCCCUUCAAUAUUGAUUUUAGGUAUUCUUAACACCAAUUCCUUAUGUACCAUUAGUUUCAUAGAAUCGACUUCGAUGUGCCUGAGCCGUGCAUGCUAACAUGCCGACUCGUCUUUAA